AGGGCCCGCGAGGGGUGAGCGUCCUUUGUUGUCUAACCCUAACUGAGAUGGGCAUAGGCGCCGCACUUUUGCUUCCCACGCUGACUUUCAGCGGGCGGAAAAGCCUUGGUCUAUUGCCGUCUACUAUGCGUACCUGGAGCAAACAAAAAAUGUCAGCCGCUGGUCCACUCGCCCGGUCGGGGAAACUGCGGUGGCUCGGCCGCCCUGCUCCCGCGCUCCGCCUAGAGGCCGCGGUCCGCCCGGGGCUUCUCCGGAGGUGCCCAGUGCAGCCCCGAAGAGUUAGGCUUUUUCAGCCACGGAUACCGAGGGGGCCGAGGGUGAGGUUCAGGCCCCUGGGCCGCAGGAAGAAAAACAAAGCAAGUUCCCAUGCCCGCUGUGCUUCCCUGAACUGUGGGUCGUGCGCCUGGGACUCGGCUCCCACAUGU
This 425-nucleotide telomerase RNA is filed under the name Dasypus novemcinctus (nine-banded armadillo). RNAcentral describes it as "Vertebrate telomerase RNA (ENSDNOG00000033503.1)". It matches the Rfam family "Vertebrate telomerase RNA". From Rfam's summary of the family: Telomerase is a ribonucleoprotein reverse transcriptase that synthesises telomeric DNA. Telomerase RNAs differ greatly in sequence and structure between vertebrates, ciliates and yeasts, but they share a 5' pseudoknot structure close to the template sequence. The record is from RNAcentral. Lineage: Eukaryota; Metazoa; Chordata; Mammalia; Cingulata; Dasypodidae.